RNAcentral lists this long non-coding RNA (1087 nucleotides) under Malus domestica (apple). Its description in RNAcentral is "long non-coding RNA (MDOM_LNC003185)". The record is from RNAcentral. Lineage: Eukaryota; Viridiplantae; Streptophyta; Magnoliopsida; Rosales; Rosaceae.
UGUAAAUUGUUCUUGAAUAGUUCAAAACAGUUGGUUCUUCUACUUGAAUGCAUGAUUCCGUAUUAGUAACAAAGCUUUACAAUCGUUGUAAAAGUGUGACUAAUAAGAAGUAGAAGAUAUAUGAGAGAAGAGAAAGUACUUCACAUUCGAAUCGUGAAUCAAAUGUAGAUCUCUGCGAAAGCAGAUGGUACUUACUUCCUCAUAUGAACUACCAAAGAAAUUGGAAAAACAUAGAUUGUCUUUGUAUUCCAAUUUUAAGGAACUAAAUUCCGUCACUAUGUGAAAUGGAUAAAUGUUUUGUUUGACAAAACAAUGUUCUUUAUUAAUCAAUGAUUAGAUUAUGGUAAUCUAAUUAAUUGUCUCUAUAGUAGAGAUAAUAUGGUAGUGUUAACUGUUUAGAAAAUAAUGAUGCUUAAAACCCAAAAGGUUGCAAGAUAGUGACUAAUCCCAACUAAAGUUGUGAUACCUCUAAAACAUAAAUUACGAGUUGGUAAUAAAUGGACGCUUUGGAUCAUUAGGUCCGGAUCCAAUACCUUCUUGUUAAAAUUGUAUAGAGGCGAAAUGUUCGAAUCUUUAUUCUUUUGGAAAGAAGAAAGAAUCACAAAGUUGUUGAGGUUAAUUCACUUAGAUGUUAGUGGCACUUGUCCACAAACAUAUUACUACUCAUGUUGGAUAACAUUCACCGAAGAUCACUCUCGGUUGGACUAUAGUUUAUUUUGAAUAAACACAAGUCCGAAUACUUUGCAAAAUGUUUCAAAGAAUUCAAGUAAUGUAAGUUGAUGAGUAAGACAUCUAAAGUAUUUACCUCCUUAGAUUUGAUCCAAGGAAAGGUAACACUUUAGAUGAGUUUCCUUGAAAGAUAUCAAGGAAAAUAGCAUCAUAAGAUAAUAUAUUUCUCCAUUAGGAGAAGAACGAACUCGAAUAAGAUUUAGUUCGUUAGAUGUUAUCUAUUACCCAUAUAUAGGAUAUAUACUUCUAAAACAAUAUGAUUGUCAAUGAGAAGAUCUUCCAGUAUUUUCAUGACUCCAUAAGAUGUAGUUGGAAAGAAAGACAAAUCUUAAGCAUGUUAAAGAUUUGGGGUUGUGUG